GCAGCCAUGCCGCGUGUAUGAUGAAGGCCUUCGGGUUGUAAAGUACUUUCAGCGGGGAGGAAGGCGGUGAGGUUAAUACCCUCGCCCAUUGACGUUACCCGCAGAAGAAGCACCGGCUAACUCCGUGCCAGCAGCCGCGGU
Molecule: ribosomal RNA, 141 nt
Filed under: uncultured Pantoea sp.
Lineage: Bacteria; Pseudomonadati; Pseudomonadota; Gammaproteobacteria; Enterobacterales; Erwiniaceae
Description: partial 16S ribosomal RNA
Rfam family: Bacterial small subunit ribosomal RNA
Source: RNAcentral